GACGAACGCUGGCGGCGUGCCUAAUACAUGCAAGUAGGACGCAGUUGCGAACGGGUGAGUAACGCGUAGGUUCCUGCCUAUUAGAGGGGUUUAAAUAUUGGAAACGAUCGCUAAUACCGCAUUCUAGUAGUUGGACCUGUGUUGUAUUAGCUAGUUGGUAGGGUAAUGGCCUACCUAGGCGACGAUACAUAGCCGACCUGGGAGGGUGAUCGGCCACACUGGGACUGAGACACGGCCCAGACUCCUACGGGAGGCAGCAGUAGGGAAUCUUCGGCAAUGGGGGGAACCCUGACCGAGCAACGCCGCGUGAGUGAAGAAGGUUUUCGGAUCGUAAAGCUCUGUUGUUAAGGAAGCGGUACUUAACCAGAAAGGGACGGCUAACUACGUGCCAGCCGCCGCGGUAAUUC
RNAcentral lists this ribosomal RNA (407 nucleotides) under uncultured bacterium. RNAcentral's name for it is "partial 16S ribosomal RNA". It matches the Rfam family "Bacterial small subunit ribosomal RNA", at positions 28 to 526 of the family's 1533-position model. The record is from RNAcentral.